RNAcentral lists this small nucleolar RNA (117 nucleotides) under Jaculus jaculus (lesser Egyptian jerboa). RNAcentral describes it as "Small nucleolar RNA SNORA33 (ENSJJAG00000008978.1)". The record is from RNAcentral. Lineage: Eukaryota; Metazoa; Chordata; Mammalia; Rodentia; Dipodidae.
UUACCAGCUUAUCUUAAUGUGUUUCACAGAAAUUUAGAAAUAUCUGGAAAAAUUGAUACCAUUUUAUGAGCCUUAAAGACAACGGAGGUCAUUAUGGUCCCUCAAAUGGCUGUCAUA